GCCGCGGUAUUUUGACCGUGCGAAGGUAGCAUAAUCAUUAGUCUUUUAAUUGAAGGCUUGUAUGAAGGGUUGGACGAGAAAUAAGCUGUCUUUAUUGAAAAAAUAGAAUUUAACUUUUAAGUGAGAGGGCUUAAAUGUUCUAAAGGGACGAUAAGACCCUAUAAAGUUUGACAUUUUAUUCAUUAAAAAAUAAAAUAAUUAAAUUAGUUUUUAUUAGUGGGGCAAUGUUUUGUUGGGGCGAUUAGAAUAUAAAAAAUUUAACUGUUUUAUAUUAAUACAAAGUUGUUUGAGUGUUUUGAUCCUUGGUAAAGGUAUUAGAGUAAAUUACUUUAGGGAUAACAGCGUAAUUUUUUUUGAGAGUUCUUAUCGACAAAAAAGUUUGCGACCUCGAUGUUGAAUUAAAGAAUUCUUUAUAGCGCAGAAGUUAUAAAAGAAGGUCUGUUCGACCUUUAAAUCUUUACAU
RNAcentral lists this ribosomal RNA (463 nucleotides) under Engaeus sericatus. RNAcentral's name for it is "partial large subunit ribosomal RNA". It matches the Rfam family "Bacterial large subunit ribosomal RNA", at positions 1930 to 2601 of the family's 2925-position model. Lineage: Eukaryota; Metazoa; Arthropoda; Malacostraca; Decapoda; Parastacidae. The record is from RNAcentral.